Molecule: ribosomal RNA, 1168 nt
Filed under: uncultured bacterium
Lineage: Bacteria
Description: bacterial SSU rRNA
Rfam family: Bacterial small subunit ribosomal RNA
Source: RNAcentral
AUUAGCUAGUUGGAGGGGUAACGGCCCACCAAGGCAAUGAUCAGUAGCCGGUCUGAGAGGAUGAACGGCCACAUUGGGACUGAGACACGGCCCAAACUCCUACGGGAGGCAGCAGUGGGGAAUCUUCCGCAAUGGACGAAAGUCUGACGGAGCAACGCCGCGUGAGUGAUGACGGCCUUCGGGUUGUAAAGCUCUGUUAAUCGGGACGAACGGUCUUUGUGUGAAUAAUGCAGAGAAUUGACGGUACCGGAAUAGAAAGCCACGGCUAACUACGUGCCAGCAGCCGCGGUAAUACGUAGGUGGCAAGCGUUGUCCGGAAUUGUUGGGCGUAAAGCGCGCGCAGGCGGUUUUGUAAGUCUGUCUUAAAAGUUCGGAGCUCAACUCCGGAAUGGCAUUGGAAACUGGUUAACUUGAGUGCAGUAGAGGUAAGUGGAACUCCAUGUGUAGCGGUGGAAUGCGUAGAUAUAUGGAAGAACACCAGUGGCGAAGGCGGCUUACUGGACUGUAACUGACGUUGAGGCUCGAAAGUGUGGGUAGCAAACAGGAUUAGAUACCCUGGUAGUCCACACCGUAAACGAUGAACACUAGGUGUUAGGAGGUUUCCGCCUCUUAGUGCCGAAGCUAACGCAUUAAGUGUUCCGCCUGGGGAGUACGACCGCAAGGUUGAAACUCAAAGGAAUUGACGGGGACCCGCACAAGCGGUGGAGCAUGUGGUUUAAUUCGAAGCAACGCGAAGAACCUUACCAGGUCUUGACAUCCUUUGAAGCUUUUAGAGAUAGAAGUGUUCUCUUCGGAGACAAAGUGACAGGUGGUGCAUGGUCGUCGUCAGCUCGUGUCGUGAGAUGUUGGGUUAAGUCCCGCAACGAGCGCAACCCUUAUUGUUAGUUGCCAGCAUUCAGAUGGGCACUCUAGCGAGACUGCCGGUGGCAAACCGGAGGAAGGCGGGGACGACGUCAGAUCAUCAUGCCCCUUAUGACCUGGGCUACACACGUGCUACAAUGGCGUAUACAACGAGUUGCCAACCCGCGAGGGUGAGCUAAUCUCUUAAAGUACGUCUCAGUUCGGAUUGUAGUCUGCAACUCGACUACAUGAAGUCGGAAUCGCUAGUAAUCGCGGAUCAGCACGCCGCGGUGAAUACGUUCCCGGGUCGUGCACUCACCGCCCGUCA